Salmonella enterica subsp. enterica serovar Typhimurium is the source of this 329-nucleotide small RNA. It matches the Rfam family "IsrM sRNA". Lineage: Bacteria; Pseudomonadati; Pseudomonadota; Gammaproteobacteria; Enterobacterales; Enterobacteriaceae. The record is from Rfam.
AGCUUCAUGCUUCUUUUUUAGAUAGUUUGUUGUUCGUGCCUAUCGUACACUUUGCGACUGUUCGUUUUGCAUCUAUUCCAAGCAUCAAUCAAUACAAUAAAUUUCAGCACCAUAAAGAUAAUAAUAAAAAUCAACAAGAUACGAAAACCCCUUCCAUAUCAACAUCAUCACCACCCUUUUUGCGCCUUCCCUUCCCCGCAAAAAAUAAAAAUCUCCAACAAACUCAACCAUCUCCCCCACCAAUUACAAGGACGCCAGCCACUUUUUAGUUGUUUGAAGUUCAAUGAAGUCUACUAAGCCCGCACAGCACAAGCUCUGCGGGCUUUUUU